AAUAUUGCACAAUGGAGGGAACUCUGAUGGAGCAACGCCGCGUGAGUGAAGAAGGUUCUCGGAUCGUAAAGCUCUGUUGUAAGGGAAGAACAAGUACAGGAGUAACGGUCUGUACCUUGACGGUACCUUACCAGAAAGCCACGGCUAACUACGUGCCAGCAGCCGCGGUAAUACGUAGGGGGCAAGCGUUGGCCGGAAUUAUUGGGCGUAAAGGGUGCGUAGGCGGCCAAUUAAAUCAGAUGUGAAAGACCACAGCUUAACUGUGGGAUUGCAUUUGAAACUGAAGGGCUUGAGUGUCGGAGAGGGUAGUGGAAUUCCCGGAGUAGCGGUGAAAUGCGUAGAUAUCGGGAGGAACACCAGUGGCGAAGGCGACUGCCUGGACGAUAACUGACGCUGAGGCACGAAAGCUAGGGGAGCAAACA
This 422-nucleotide ribosomal RNA is filed under the name uncultured bacterium. RNAcentral describes it as "partial 16S ribosomal RNA". It matches the Rfam family "Bacterial small subunit ribosomal RNA", at positions 360 to 774 of the family's 1533-position model. The record is from RNAcentral.